Leptonychotes weddellii (Weddell seal) is the source of this 170-nucleotide non-coding RNA. The record is from RefSeq and is a predicted model, not a curated record. NCBI's taxonomy places the organism in Eukaryota, Metazoa, Chordata, Mammalia, Carnivora, Phocidae.
ACAUCCCUAGAUUGGAAUAGUGAAGGUACACUUCUAGCAACUGGUUCAUACGAUGGAUUUGCCAGAAUAUGGACUAAAGAUGGUAACCUUGCUAGCACCUUGGGGCAGCAUAAGGGCCCUAUAUUUGCAUUAAAGUGGAAUAAGAAAGGAAAUUUCAUCCUAAGUGCUGG